RNAcentral lists this ribosomal RNA (255 nucleotides) under uncultured bacterium. RNAcentral describes it as "partial 16S ribosomal RNA". It matches the Rfam family "Bacterial small subunit ribosomal RNA", at positions 524 to 776 of the family's 1533-position model. The record is from RNAcentral.
CACGUAGGGCGCGAGCGUUGUCCGGAAUUAUUGGGCGUAAAGAGCUCGUAGGCGGCCUGUUGCGUCCGCUGUGAAAGCCCGGGGCUUAACCCCCGGGUCGGCAGUGGAUACGGGGCAGGCUAGAGGUAGGUAGGGGAGAAUGGAAUUCCCGGUGUAGCGGUGAAAUGCGCAGAUAUCGGGAGGAACACCGGUGGCGAAGGCGGUUCUCUGGGCCUUACCUGACGCUGAGGAGCGAAAGCGUGGGGAGCGAACAGG